RNAcentral lists this ribosomal RNA (492 nucleotides) under uncultured bacterium. Its description in RNAcentral is "bacterial SSU rRNA". It matches the Rfam family "Bacterial small subunit ribosomal RNA", at positions 17 to 518 of the family's 1533-position model. The record is from RNAcentral.
UUAUGGCUCAGGAUGAACGCUGGCGGCGUGCCUAACACAUGCAAGUCGAGCGGAGAUAAGUUGAAGCCUAGCGAUUCUUAUCUUAGCGGCGGAUGGGUGAGUAACACGUGGGUAACCUGCCCUGUACUGGGGAAUAACAGCUGGAAACGGCUGUUAAUGCCGCAUAUGCGCACGGAGCCGCAUGACUCCGGGCGGAAAGAUUUAUCGGUACAGGAUGGGCCCGCGCCGGAUUAACUAGUUGGCGGGGUAACGGCCCACCCAAGGUGAUGAUCCGUAGCCGACCUGAGAGGGUGACCGGCCACAUUGGGACUGAGACACGGCCCAAACUCCUACGGGAGGCAGCAGUGGGGGAUAUUGCACAAUGGGGGAAACCCUGAAUGCAGCGACGCCGCGUGAAGGAUGACGUAUUUCGGUAUGUAAACUUCUAUCAGCGGGGAAGAAGAUGACGGUACCCGACUAAGAAGCCCCGGCUAACUACGUGCCAGCAGCGGC